RNAcentral lists this ribosomal RNA (1436 nucleotides) under uncultured bacterium. Its description in RNAcentral is "bacterial SSU rRNA". It matches the Rfam family "Bacterial small subunit ribosomal RNA". The record is from RNAcentral.
GUUUGAUCAUGGCUCAGAACGUACGCUGGCGGCACGCCUAACACAUGCAAGUCGAACGAAGUAGCAAUACUUAGUGGCAGACGGGUGAGUAACAUGUAGGUAUCUGCCCUUUGGCCUGGAAUAACACGAGGAAACUUGUGCUAAUACCGGAUAAGUCUUUACGGAGAAAGCUUUAUGCACCAUUGGAUGAGCCUGCACUUGAUUAGUUUGUUGGUGGGGUAAUGGCCUACCAAGACUGUGAUCAAUAGCUGAUUUGAGAGGAUGAUCAGCCACAUUGGGACUGAGACACGGCCCAAACUCCUACGGGAGGCAGCAGUGGGGAAUCUUGCACAAUGGAGGAAACUCUGAUGCAGCGAUGCCGCGUGAGUGAAGAAGGCCUUUGGGUUGUAAAGCUCUUUCGUCGGGGAAGAAAAUGACUGUACCCGAAUAAGAAGGUCCGGCUAACUUCGUGCCAGCAGCCGCGGUAAUACGAAGGGACCUAGCGUAGUUCGGAAUUACUGGGCUUAAAGAGUUCGUAGGUGGUUGAAAAAGUUAGUGGUGAAAUCCCAGAGCUUAACUCUGGAACUGCCAUUAAAACUUUUCAGCUAGAGUAUGAUAGAGGAAAGCAGAAUUUCUAGUGUAGAGGUGAAAUUCGUAGAUAUUAGAAAGAAUACCAAUUGCGAAGGCAGCUUUCUGGAUCAUUACUGACACUGAGGAACGAAAGCAUGGGUAGCGAAGAGGAUUAGAUACCCUCGUAGUCCAUGCCGUAAACGAUGUGUGUUAGACGUUGGAAAUUUAUUUUCAGUGUCGCAGGGAAACCGAUAAACACACCGCCUGGGGAGUACGACCGCAAGGUUAAAACUCAAAUGAAUUGACGGGGACCCGCACAAGUAGUGGAGCAUGUGGUUUAAUUCGAAGAUACGCGCAGAACCUUACCAACACUUGACAUGUUCGUCGCGACUCUAAGAGAUUAGAGUUUUCGGUUCGGCCGGACGAAACACAGGUGCUGCAUGGCUGUCGUCAGCUCGUGUCGUGAGAUGUUGGGUUAAGUCCCGCAACGAGCGCAACCCUCACUUUUAGUUGCCAUCAUUAAGUUGGGCACUCUGAAAGAACUGCCAGUGAUAAGCUGGAGGAAGGUGGGGAUGACGUCAAGUCCUCAUGGCCCUUACGUGUUGGGCUACACACGUGCUACAAUGGUAUCUACAACAGGAAGCAAGACUGCGAAGUUAAGCAAAUCCCUAAAAGAUACCUCAGUUCGGAUUGCACUCUGCAACUCGAGUGCAUGAAGCUGGAAUUACUAGUAAUCGUGGAUCAGCGUGCCACGGUGAAUGCGUUCCCGGGUCUUGUACACACCGCCCGUCACACCAUGGGAGUUGGUUCUACCUUAAGGCAAGGUUUCAAACCCUUGACCACGGUAUAGUCAGCGACUGGGGUGAAGUCGUAACAAGGUAGCCGUA